RNAcentral lists this ribosomal RNA (253 nucleotides) under uncultured bacterium. Its description in RNAcentral is "partial 16S ribosomal RNA". It matches the Rfam family "Bacterial small subunit ribosomal RNA", at positions 524 to 776 of the family's 1533-position model. The record is from RNAcentral.
UACGUAGGGUGCAAGCGUUGUCCGGAAUUAUUGGGCGUAAAGAGCUCGUAGGCGGUUUGUCGCGUCUGCUGUGAAAACUCGGGGCUUAACCCCGGGCCUGCAGUGGGUACGGGCAGACUAGAGUGCGGUAGGGGAGACUGGAAUUCCUGGUGUAGCGGUGAAAUGCGCAGAUAUCGGGAGGAACACCAGUGGCGAAGGCGGCACUCUGGGCCAGUAUUGACGCUGAGGAGCGAAAGCGUGGGGAGCGAACAGG